CUGAUGUAUCGGUAAUCGAUUAUCGAUAAAUCAAAAGCAAGCGGAAAGCUUGCGUGCUAAUUUAUGUAUUGUAUUUAACAAUUUAAUUGAGAACCGUCAAAGGGAGCAGUUGAAACCGCCGUAGAUGACGUAAUGGAGUCGAUUACCUUUGGAGUUCUGACCAUUAGUGACACCUGUUGCCAGGAACCGGCAAAGGAUAAAAGUGGUCCCAGGCUGAAGCAACUGAUCGCCGAGUCCUUCACCAAUGCCCAGGUGAUAGAGAGUAUUGUCCCGGACGAGAAGGACCACAUCCAGCGGGUGCUGCGCGAGUGGAUCGAUAGGAAGGAGCUGCGGGUGAUCCUGACCACCGGUGGAACAGGAUUCGCUCCACGGGAUGUGACUCCAGAGGCCACCAGACCGCUGCUGGAGAAGGAGUGCCCCCAACUUUCGUUGGUCAUAACUUUAGAAUCCCUAAAAAAGACCCAAUUCGCGGCUCUUUCCCGCGGGCUCUGUGGCAUUGCGGGGAAUACCCUGAUCCUCAAUUUUCCGGGCAGCGAAAAGGCCGUUAAAGAGUGCUUCGAGACCGUGAGGGAACUCCUGCCUCAUGCUCUGCAUCUCAUCGGUGACGAGGUGUCUCUGGUGCGCAAAACCCAUGCGGAGGUGCAAGGAUCCGCGCCCAGGGGUCACAUUUGCCCCCAUAAAACGGGGGCCGGAAGUGAUUCCGAUCGCAAUUCCCCUUUUCCCAUGCUGCCCGUCGAGGAGGUGCUCUCUAUAAUCUUCGACACGGUGCAGAGGACCAGCAGUCUGGACAAGAUCUUGUGGCAGCUGAACUCGCCCGUGAACAUUCCACCCUUCAGGGCUUCCAUCAAGGAUGGCUACGCCAUGAAGUCCACCGGAUUCUCGGGCAGCAAGCGCGUUUUGGGCUGCAUAGCCGCCGGAGAUGCACCCAAUUCAUCGCCACUGGCGGAGGAUGAGUGCUUCAAAAUCAACACCGGAGCACCUCUGCCAUUGGAGGCGGAUUGCGUGGUGCAGGUGGAGGACACAAAAUUGCUGCAACGGGACAAGCACGGCCGGGAAAGCCUGGUGGACAUCAUAGUGGAGCCAAUGGCUGGCUUAGACGUGCGGCCUGUGGGUCACGACCUGAGCACCAAGGAUCGUGUUUUUCCCGCUCCAGAUCCCUCGCCUGUGGUGGUCAAAUCCCUGCUGGCCUCCGUGGGCAACCGUCUGGCUGUGCCCAAGCCCAGGGUGGCCAUAGUGUCCACUGGCAGCGAGCUACUCUCUCCACGUGAUCAACCCACUCCGGGCAAGAUCUUCGACUCGAACACCACGAUGUUGGCGGAACUGCUGCUCUACUUUGGUUUCGACUGCGUGCACACGAGCGUGCUAAGCGAUAGCUUUGAACAGACGAAGGAAUCGCUGUCUGAUCUCUUUGAGGUGGUGGACUUUGUCAUCUGCAGUGGCGGUGUCUCAAUGGGCGACAAGGAUUUCGUGAAGCCCGUGCUGGAGGACCUCCAGUUUAAACUUCACUGCGGCCGGGUGAACAUGAAGCCAGGCAAGCCCAUGACCUUCGCCAGCCGCAAUGAGAAGUACUUCUUCGGCCUGCCCGGGAAUCCAGUGUCAGCCUUUGUCACAUUCCACCUGUUCGCCCUGCCCGCCAUCCGCUGGGCUGCCGGCUGGGAACGCCAGAAGUGCUCCCUGCCCGUGAUCAAUGUGAAGUUGCUGAACGGCUUCUAUUUGGAUAGCCGUCCGGAGUUUGUUCGAGCCUCAGUGAUUUCCAAAUCUGGAGAGCUGUACGCCAGUGUUAAUGGAGAUCAGAUAAGCAGCCGCCUACAGAGCAUUGUGGGUGCGGAUGUUUUAAUCAACCUGCCAGCAGCAACCUCUGAUCGCCCAUUGGCGAAAGCUGGCGAAGUUUUCCCCGCCUCCGUGCUGCGAUACGACUUUAUCUCCAAGUACGAAUAGGAAUAGCUGCCAGGACAGACGCCAAGAAGCCUGCAUAACCCUCGAAUGUUAGACAAACACGACAAUACACCUUCGUAGAUUAGCACAAAGAUUUAUUUUUUCAUAUAUCGUAACAUCACGUACAAUGUCCAUCAAUUACACCUUUAGCAGUGUGUACAAAAACGAGUAUAAAAUAGAUUAAAACAGAGUACGGAGAGCAGGACCUGGAACGGGAUAAGGUCAAGAAAAACGGAAUCGGGACGGGAUCAGGAGCAUAUAUACAGGAAGUGGAAGGAAGCGGGUCUCAAACCGACUGGGUGGCGGACUCGCCGACGACUGGAGAUACCGGCCUUUGGAGGCGCAGCGAGGAGCGGCAUGG
Drosophila suzukii is the source of this 2296-nucleotide non-coding RNA. Lineage: Eukaryota; Metazoa; Arthropoda; Insecta; Diptera; Drosophilidae. The record is from RefSeq and is a predicted model, not a curated record.